Non-coding RNA from Triticum aestivum (bread wheat), 139 nucleotides. The record is from Rfam. NCBI's taxonomy places the organism in Eukaryota, Viridiplantae, Streptophyta, Magnoliopsida, Poales, Poaceae.
CAUCUACUCCCUCCGUCCGGAAAUUCUUGUCAUCAAAAUGAAUAAAAGGGAAUGUAUCUAGAUGUAUUUUAGUUCUAGAUAUAUACAUUCCUUUUUGUUCAUUUUGAUGACAAGUAUUUUCGGACGAAGGGAGUAGUAA